RNAcentral lists this ribosomal RNA (1107 nucleotides) under Triticum aestivum (bread wheat). RNAcentral's name for it is "partial small subunit ribosomal RNA". The record is from RNAcentral. Lineage: Eukaryota; Viridiplantae; Streptophyta; Magnoliopsida; Poales; Poaceae.
AUGGAGCACACGGCGGCGUCCACGCUGCUGCUCCCGGACGACGCCCUCCGCGAGAUCCUCCUGCGCGUCUCCACCGACGUCGCCGCCCUGUUCCGCUGCGGCAUCACCUGCAAGCGGUGGGGACGACUCAUCGCCGACCGCUCCUUCCUCCGCCGCUGCUGGCCGGAGAACGCUGCUGGCUCGUCCUUCCUGCUCGGCUUCUUCCAGAAGGAGUUGCCCAAGGAUCAGCCACCAUAUUUCUCCCCGAUAUUGCCGGGGUCGGUAUUCGGUUCCCAUCGUCGUUCCCUCACCACCUUUGUCUCUGGCGUGCCGGCCGGCGUCCUUAACAAAGCGAUACCGAUCGCCGCGCACCAUGGCCUCCUCCUCAUGCGUCACAUGGCCACGGGUGAGCUGGUCGUGUGUGACACACUCGCCGGCGAUUGUGUUGUGCUCCCCCCACUCAAGUGCGGUCCUCCCAACUAUGGUUUCACAAUUCUAACCCGUGAGGACUGUUGUCCCUUGGGUGAGUAUCAGGGACCAACUGCGCCAACGGCCUUCUUCAAGGUUCUAACCAUCGCCGGGGUCGCUGAUGGUUGUAGUCUCUACACCUUCAUGUCCUCCGAGACGGGCUGGAGCUCACCAAAACAGUGUUUCGACCGGGUCUGGGCACGCGGUAGACGCCAUGUUCGAAUUCUACUCGGGACGAAUAAGGUUGUCGUGUGUCGUGGCGUGGCACACUGGCUCGGGACGCACUCGGCGGAUCAAGAGGGCUUGCCAAAUUAUUUCACCUUGGGUGUCAACGCCCAGACCGGGCACGUCUCCAUAGCGGACCUCCCGAUCCCGGCGAACCAGCUAGCCAAACCAAAUUCUUCUGGACCAAUGCUUAUCGUCGAUGGGAACCGAAGGCUCUCGCUGCUCCAGUUGCGCAGGGAAGAUCUCCGACUAAGCAUGUGGACGCGGGUGGACGACGGAACCUGGCUCCGCACCGUGGUGAUUGAGCUCAAACCGCCAAAGUGGGAUUGGCAUCAUCGUGGGUGUGUAAGCAUGUGGUCAGGAAGAAGAGAAACACUUUGCUCAUCACAGAUAUGUACAGGCGCGUACACGAGACAGACACCGAAACAGGAGUGA